Molecule: ribosomal RNA, 253 nt
Filed under: uncultured bacterium
Lineage: Bacteria
Description: partial 16S ribosomal RNA
Rfam family: Bacterial small subunit ribosomal RNA
Source: RNAcentral
GACGAACCGUCCAAACGUUAUUUGGAAUCACUGGGCUUAAAGGGUGCGUAGGCGGCCCUGAAAGUUGGGUGUGAAAUCCCUCGGCUCAACCGAGGAAUUGCGCCCAAAACUACAGGGCUCGAGGGAGACAGAGGUGAGCGGAACUUGCGGUGGAGCGGUGAAAUGCGUUGAUAUCGCAAGGAACACCAGUGGCGAAAGCGGCUCACUGGGUCUUUUCUGACGCUGAGGCACGAAAGCUAGGGGAGCGAAGAGG